AUACUUACCUGGCAGGGGAGAUACCAUGAUCACGAAGGUGGUUUUCCCAGGGCGAGGCUUAUCCAUUGCAGUCCGGAUGUGCUGACCCCUGCGAUUUCCCCAAAUGUGGGAAACUCGACUGCAUAAUUUGUGGUAGUGGGGGACUGCGUUCGCGCUCUCCCCUG
This 164-nucleotide small nuclear RNA is filed under the name Rhinolophus ferrumequinum (greater horseshoe bat). RNAcentral describes it as "U1 spliceosomal RNA (ENSRFEG00010001388.1)". It matches the Rfam family "U1 spliceosomal RNA". Rfam says of the family: U1 is a small nuclear RNA (snRNA) component of the spliceosome (involved in pre-mRNA splicing). Lineage: Eukaryota; Metazoa; Chordata; Mammalia; Chiroptera; Rhinolophidae. The record is from Rfam by way of RNAcentral.